GCAUAAGGGAGCUUGACUGCGAGACCUACAAGUCGAGCAGGGUCGAAAGACGGACUUAGUGAUCCGGUGGUUCCGCAUGGAAGGGCCAUCGCUCAACGGAUAAAAGCUACCCCGGGGAUAACAGGCUUAUCUCCCCCAAGAGUUCACAUCGACGGGGAGGUUUGGCACCUCGAUGUCGGCUCAUCGCAUCCUGGGGCUGUAGUCGGUCCCAAGGGUUGGGCUGUUCGCCCAUUAAAGCGGUACGCGAGCUGGGUUCAGAACGUCGUGAGACAGUUCGGUCCCUAUCCGUCGUGGGCGUAGGAAAUUUGAGAGGAGCUGUCCUUAGUACGAGAGGACCGGGAUGGACAUACCUCUGGUGUACCAGUUGUCGUGCCAACGGCAUAGCUGGGUAGCUAUGUGUGGACGGGAUAAGUGCUGAAAGCAUCUAAGCAUGAAGCCCCCCUCAAGAUG
Molecule: ribosomal RNA, 450 nt
Filed under: Escherichia coli
Lineage: Bacteria; Pseudomonadati; Pseudomonadota; Gammaproteobacteria; Enterobacterales; Enterobacteriaceae
Description: partial 23S ribosomal RNA
Rfam family: Bacterial large subunit ribosomal RNA
Source: RNAcentral